This is a long non-coding RNA of Cydia strobilella, 276 nucleotides long. RefSeq lists it as uncharacterized. The record is from RefSeq and is a predicted model, not a curated record. The transcript is spliced from 2 exons. NCBI's taxonomy places the organism in Eukaryota, Metazoa, Arthropoda, Insecta, Lepidoptera, Tortricidae.
UAAAAUAGAUGAUACCAAAGCGCAUCGUCUCUGCUGGCUUGGCCACCUCGAAAGGAUGGGUGAAGAUUGGGCAGCCAAAAGGCCUACUUGGAUUGACAAACUGGACGCCGUCCUGUUAGUCAUCGUAAAUAUCGUUGGGCGGAUAGAGUGGAGGCAGAUCUCCGUGAGCUCGGCGUCGGCGAAAGCUGGCGUGAUAUCGCUCUGGACCGAGUAAAGUGGCGUGCUCUUGUGUUGAAGGCCAAGACUCAUUUUGGAUCAUCUCGCCAACCAAAUAAG